UCGAGAAUUUUUCUCAAUGGGGGAAACCCUGAAGGAGCGACGCCGCGUGGAGGAUGAAGGUUUUCGGAUUGUAAACUCCUGUCAUCCGGGAGCAAUGCUAUCUCAUUAACUGUGGGAUAGUUGAUAGUACCGGAAGAGGAAGAGACGGCUAACUCUGUGCCAGCAGCCGCGGUAAUACAGAGGUCUCAAGCGUUGUUCGGAUUUAUUGGGCGUAAAGGGUGCGCAGGCUGUGUGGUAAGUUUGGUGUGAAAUCCUGGGGCUCAACCCCAGAAUUGCACUGAAUACUGCCAUGCUAGAGGACUGGAGAGGAGAUUGGAAUUCACGGUGUAGCAGUGAAAUGCGUAGAUAUCGUGAGGAAGACCAGUGGCGAAGGCGAAUCUCUGGACAGUUCCUGACGCUCAUGCACGAAGGCCAGGGGAGCAAACGGG
RNAcentral lists this ribosomal RNA (428 nucleotides) under uncultured bacterium. RNAcentral's name for it is "bacterial SSU rRNA". It matches the Rfam family "Bacterial small subunit ribosomal RNA", at positions 355 to 776 of the family's 1533-position model. The record is from RNAcentral.